This 308-nucleotide ribosomal RNA is filed under the name uncultured eukaryote. Its description in RNAcentral is "SSU rRNA". It matches the Rfam family "Eukaryotic small subunit ribosomal RNA", at positions 111 to 414 of the family's 1831-position model. The record is from RNAcentral.
AAUUAUUUAUUUGAUGGUUUCUUACUUUAUGGAUAACCGUAGUAAUUCUAGAGCUAAUACAUGCGUAAAGUCCCGACUCUCGCGGGGAGGGAUGUAUUUAUUAGAUUAAAAACCAAUGCGGCCUUUGGUCGGACUUGUGUUGAUUCAUAGUAACUUUUCGGAUCGCAGGGCUUCACGCCGGCGACAGUUCAUUCAAAUUUCUGCCCUAUCAGCUUUCGACGGUAGUGUAGUGGACUACCGUGGCAUUUACGGGUGACGGAGAAUUAGGGUUCGAUUCCGGAGAGGGAGCCUGAGAAACGGCCACCACA